RNAcentral lists this ribosomal RNA (468 nucleotides) under uncultured bacterium. RNAcentral describes it as "partial 16S ribosomal RNA". It matches the Rfam family "Bacterial small subunit ribosomal RNA", at positions 28 to 507 of the family's 1533-position model. The record is from RNAcentral.
GACGAACGCUGGCGGCGUGCUUAACACAUGCAAGUCGAACGGAAAGGCCCUGCUUUUGUGGGGUGCUCGAGUGGCGAACGGGUGAGUAACACGUGAGUAACCUGCCCUUGACUUUGGGAUAACUUCAGGAAACUGGGGCUAAUACCGGAUAGGAGCUCCUGCUGCAUGGUGGGGGUUGGAAAGUUUCGGCGGUUGGGGAUGUACUCGCGGCUUAUCAGCCUGUUGGUGGGGUAGUGGCUUACCAAGGCUUUGACGGGUAGCCGGCCUGAUGGGGUGAACGGCCGCACUGGGCCCGGAGUGGAGGCCGGAGUACUAAGGGUGGCAAGAGGGGGGAAAGCUUGACGAAGGGCCGCAGCCUGAGUCAGGAAGGCCGUGGGCGGGUAGAACGCCGUUAGGUUGGAAAACCCAUUCGGCAGGGAACUAGGCGCGUGUGGAGUAAUGGGUAAAGAAGCACCGGCUAACUACGUG